CUAAAUACAGGCUGAAAAAUAGUAGUUACCCAUAAACCCAUCCUCUCCGGUAGAAAAAUGAGUGGGAUUGUGAUGAAUUAGUGUGGGUUCCUAAAACAAAGUGAUUUGUACAUAACAAUAAUACAAGUAUGAAAACGGGUCUGACCAAUACUUUACAUCUUGUACCAAAGCCAGAGAACUACAGCAUAACUCUUCUGUGUUCUGGUAAUGGAGUCCUGAGGACUUGGCUGGUGGUCUCUGCAAUCCUGUAACUGAGCUUUGGGCCGCACUGCAUUGCUCACUGGACCAAUCCACCACUUCAUGCUUAUCUAUGAUCUGGGGUUACUGGCAGUGGCCACAUCCUGAUUGCUGGUAUUUUGAUGGCUGCACCUCCAAAGAGAGAAAGUGUGGAGGUUACCUGUGUCAGGGCCACGAGGCUGGAAGGAGCAAACCCUUAUCCACAGAGAGCUGACUUCUGGGCGCUGAAUGGAGUCCCUUAUCUUUCAACUUCUGGGAAAAGUGAUAGUUCUUAAACUUGUCAACAGACACAAAAAGAAAGAUGAACGAGAAGGGAGUUUUUAAUAUCUGAAAAUUGAAGAACAUUAAGAAACAACAGUCCAGAGCUGUUCCACCUGAACGUGGUGAAGCACUACAAAAUGUAGAAUGGAAACGCUGAAGUAGAGAGUGAAGAGACUGUGGACCACCUUGUUCCUUCAGGAGUUAUUUAAACCUUCCUAUGAACACUUCACUGUCCAGCGUAGAUUUAAAAAAAAAUGCUGUUAGCUCACAGAAUACAAGAAAAGCUGCCUAAUCUAUCACAAUAAGACAGUUAAUCACCUUUGACAACGUAUGUUUAUAACUGAAAUGAAACAUUCACUACUUAGAAGCAUUUGACACUGCUAUAUUGCGCUGCUAUUAGCACUGUUAUUUGAGUCCAUGUAUAGACAGACAUUUCUUAAAGAUUCAAAAAUCAUCAGAUUCAGCAGAAACUUCAAACCCACUUAAAAUGCAGUGAGUUUAGGAUGUUUUUGACAGAACAAAAUGGAAUCUUUAUAAGCCAUGAAUUAAAAAUCCUGUGCAAGAUGAAUGGGUUCAUGUAGCAUAGAAGUCAGCACCUGAGACCAAGCAGAGUACGUUGAUAUUGUUUUCCAAAAGCUUAAUAAGUUUGUAUCGAGUUUAGAACAGAUCAAUCAGUUUAGCUAGUUUCUUUUUCUGCUGAUUUUACUGCAAUCAGAGCUGAAACCCAGAACUUGCAAAACUGAGAUCUUUGUUUAGUACAAGAAUCUAGCAGCUGCUGGGAGGGAUUACAGCUACUCUGGUUCUCUUCACUUGCUUAGCUGAGGCUUAAUCUUAACUAGGAAUUUAAUUGGGUUUUCUGUAUUUCUAAAGAAAUGCACUAAAAGCUAAGAUACAUAGUCAAAUAUUCCUUUUCUGUGUGGUUAAGCUGCUGAAUUUUGAAUUAUUUUCUGUUCAGAUGCAUAGCUUUAUAGGAU
Molecule: long non-coding RNA, 1472 nt
Filed under: Anser brachyrhynchus (Pink-footed goose)
Lineage: Eukaryota; Metazoa; Chordata; Aves; Anseriformes; Anatidae
Description: lncRNA (ENSABRG00000010610.1)
Source: RNAcentral